This 496-nucleotide ribosomal RNA is filed under the name uncultured bacterium. RNAcentral's name for it is "partial 16S ribosomal RNA". It matches the Rfam family "Bacterial small subunit ribosomal RNA", at positions 28 to 507 of the family's 1533-position model. The record is from RNAcentral.
GAUGAACGCUGGCGGCGUGCCUAAUACAUGCAAGUCGAGCGAACGGACGAGAAGCUUGCUUCUCUGAUGUUAGCGGCGGACGGGUGAGUAACACGUGGAUAACCUACCUAUAAGACUGGGAUAACUUCGGGAAACCGGAGCUAAUACCGGAUGAUAUUUUGAACCGCAUGGUUCAAAAGUGAAAGACGGUCUUGCUGUCACUUAUAGAUGGAUCCGCGCUGCAUUAGCUAGUUGGUAAGGUAACGGCUACCAAAGCAACGAUGCAUAGCCGACCUGAGAGGGUGAUCGGCCACACUGGAACUGAGACACGGUCCAGACCCCUACGGGAGGCAGCAGUAGGGAAUCUUCCGCAAUGGGCGAAAGCCUGACGGAGCAACGCCGCGUGAGUGAUGAGGGUCUUCGGAUCGUAAAACUCUGUUAUUAGGGAAGAACAUAUGUGUAAGUAACUGUGCACAUCUUGACGGUACCUAAUCAGAAAGCCACGGCUAACUACGUG